Molecule: long non-coding RNA, 345 nt
Filed under: Elaeis guineensis (African oil palm)
Lineage: Eukaryota; Viridiplantae; Streptophyta; Magnoliopsida; Arecales; Arecaceae
Description: long non-coding RNA (EGUI_LNC022946)
Source: RNAcentral
ACUGGUAUGGGCUAAACCAGAUUGCUAAGCAACCUAAUUCAAGAUCUAAUCUUUCAAAUUGGCCAGGUAAGUGGAGAUAGAUGGGGGUCCCUCCGUUGCCUUCCUAAGACACCAAUAAAUUGGUCAAGUUAGGUAACAAAACUAAUUAAAUAAUUACAUCUUAUUAACUUAUCUUAAACAUUAAUAGGUCGAUUGAUCAGAAUUGGUUAGCUCAAGCGAAUCAGGCUCAAACUAAUGAGCCAAAUUAGGUCCUUAGGUUAAUUGAUUCUACAUAUGGGAUUCAAUCGAUUUGAUCAACAAUAAUUGUAUGAUCAUUAACUUAAUUGAUCUACUCUUUAUCAACAC